UACGUAGGGUGCAAGCGUUGUCCGGAAUUAUUGGGCGUAAAGAGCUCGUAGGCGGUCUGUCGCGUCGGAUGUGAAAAUCCAGGGCUCAACCCUGGACCUGCAUUCGAUACGGGCAGACUAGAGUUCGGUAGGGGAGACUGGAAUUCCUGGUGUAGCGGUGAAAUGCGCAGAUAUCAGGAGGAACACCGGUGGCGAAGGCGGGUCUCUGGGCCGAAACUGACGCUGAGGAGCGAAAGCGUAGGGAGCGAACAGG
Molecule: ribosomal RNA, 253 nt
Filed under: uncultured bacterium
Lineage: Bacteria
Description: partial 16S ribosomal RNA
Rfam family: Bacterial small subunit ribosomal RNA
Source: RNAcentral